AGAGUUUGAUCCUGGCUCAGGACGAACGCUGGCGGCGUGCUUAACACAUGCAAGUCGAACGAGACCCUUUCUUCGGGAAGGUGUUCUAGUGGCGAACGGGUGAGUAACACGUGGGCAACCUGCCCCCGGCUCUGGGAUAACUCCAAGAAAUUGGGGCUAAUACCGGAUGUGACCGCUGACCGCAUGGUCUGGUGGUGGAAAGGUUUUUCCGGCUGGGGAUGGGCCCGCGGCCUAUCAGCUUGUUGGUGGGGUAGUGGCCUACCAAGGCGACGACGGGUAGCCGGUCUGAGAGGGUGACCGGCCACACUGGGACUGAGACACGGCCCAGACUCCUACGGGAGGCAGCAGUGGGGAAUAUUGCGCAAUGGGCGGAAGCCUGACGCAGCGACGCCGCGUGGGGGAUGACGGCCUUCGGGUUGUAAACCUCUUUCAGUAGGGACGAAGCCGUGAGGUGACGGUACCUACAGAAGAAGCACCGGCCAACUACGUGCCAGCAGCCGCGGUAAUACGUAGGGUGCAAGCGUUGUCCGGAAUUAUUGGGCGUAAAGAGCUCGUAGGCGGUUUGUUGCGUCGGCUGUGAAAACCUGAGGCUCAACCUCAGGCCUGCAGUCGAUACGAGCAGACUAGAGUGUUGCAGGGGAGACUGGAAUUCCUGGUGUAGCGGUGAAAUGCGCAGAUAUCAGGAGGAACACCGGUGGCGAAGGCGGGUCUCUGGGCAACAACUGACGCUGAGGAGCGAAAGCGUGGGGAGCGAACAGGAUUAGAUACCCUGGUAGUCG
Molecule: ribosomal RNA, 779 nt
Filed under: uncultured bacterium
Lineage: Bacteria
Description: bacterial SSU rRNA
Rfam family: Bacterial small subunit ribosomal RNA
Source: RNAcentral